UCUGCCUUGUAGUGGGGGAUAACUUGCCGAAAGGUAAGCUAAUACCGCAUACGCCCUAAGGGGGAAAGCAGGGGACUCUUCGGAGCCUUGCGCUAUUAGAUGAGCCUAGGUCGGAUUAGUUAGUUGGUGGGGUAAUGGCUCACCAAGACCGCGAUCCGUAACUGGUCUGAGAGGAUGAUCAGUCACACUGGAACUGAGACACGGUCCAGACUCCUACGGGAGGCAGCAGUGGGGAAUAUUGGACAAUGGGGGGAACCCUGAUCCAGCCAUGCCGCGUGUGUGAAGAAGGCCUUCGGGUUGUAAAGCACUUUAAUUUGGGAGGAAGGGCUUACGGUUAAUAACCGCUAAGUUUUGACGUUACCAAAAGAAUAAGCACCGGCUAACUUCGUGCCAGCAGCCGCGGUAAUACGAAGGGUGCGAGCGUUAAUCGGAAUUACUGGGCGUAAAGCGCGCGUAGGUGGUUCAUUAAGUUAGGAGUGAAAGCCCCGGGCUCAACCUGGGGAAUUGCUUCUAAAACUGGUGAGCUAAAGUACGGUAGAAGGUGGUGGAAUUUCCUGUGUAGCGGUGAAUGCGUAAAUAUAGGAAGGAACAUCAGUGGCGAAGGCGACCACCUGGACUGAUACUGACACUGAGGUGCGAAAGCGUGGGGAGCAAACAGGAUUAAAUACCCUGGUAUUCCACGCCGUAAACGAUGUCAACUA
This 701-nucleotide ribosomal RNA is filed under the name uncultured bacterium. RNAcentral's name for it is "bacterial SSU rRNA". It matches the Rfam family "Bacterial small subunit ribosomal RNA", at positions 125 to 818 of the family's 1533-position model. The record is from RNAcentral.